CCUACGGGUGGCAGCAGUGGGGAAUAUUGCACAAUGGGGGAAACCCUGAUGCAGCAACGCCGCGUGAGUGAGGAAGUAUUUCGGUAUGUAAAGCUCUAUCAGCAGGGAAUAGAAAAGAAGGUACCUGCCAAUGAAGCCCCGGCUAACUACGUGCCAGCAGCCGCGGUAAUACGUAGGGGGCAAGCGUUAUCCGGAUUUACUGGGGGUAAAGGGAGCGUAGACGGAAAGGCAAGUCAGAAGUGAAAACUCAAGGCUCAACCAUGGGACUGCUUUUGAAACUGUCAAACUAGAGUACGGGAGAGGUAAGAGGAAUGCCUAGUGUAGCGGUAAAAUGCGUAGAGAUUAGGAGGAACACCAGUGGCGAAGGCGUCCUACUGGACCGAAACUGACGCUGAGGCGCGAAAGCGUGGGGAGCAAACAGGAUUAGAUACCCGUGUAGUC
This 441-nucleotide ribosomal RNA is filed under the name uncultured bacterium. RNAcentral's name for it is "partial 16S ribosomal RNA". It matches the Rfam family "Bacterial small subunit ribosomal RNA", at positions 338 to 795 of the family's 1533-position model. The record is from RNAcentral.